CCCUUAGAUGUUCUGGGCCGCACGCGCGCUACACUGAUGCAUUCAACGAGCCUAUCCUUGACCGACAGGUCCGGGUAAUCUUUGAAUCUGCAUCGUGACGGGGAUAGAUUAUUGCAAUUAUUAAUCUUCAACGAGGAAUGCCUAGUAGGCGCAAGUCAUCAGCUUGCGUCGAUUACGUCCCUGCCCUUUGUACACACCGCCCGUCGCUCCUACCGAUCGAAGAGUUAGGUGAAUUGUUUUGAUCGAUAAGAUUUGACUAUGGUUAACUCUCGUUGUGAAAUUCUGUGAAUCUGACUGUUUAGAGGAAGGAAAAGUCGUAACA
RNAcentral lists this ribosomal RNA (322 nucleotides) under uncultured eukaryote. RNAcentral describes it as "partial 18S ribosomal RNA". It matches the Rfam family "Eukaryotic small subunit ribosomal RNA", at positions 1470 to 1796 of the family's 1831-position model. The record is from RNAcentral.